UGUACAAUAUUGACGAGUUUCACGUUUCCGUUCUUCCGCCCGCAUUGAUCCUGGGGGCGUUCACCAACGGCCUGAGGAAAUGCGGGUGACUUCUGCUUUCGGAGCCUGCCCUGCACUCACUGUGCCACGCACCGAGAUGAUUGCGAGCUCUGCGUGGUGCGGCCCUACUCUGCUGCUGCUGCUCUUCUCCCCAGCCCUGUGGGCAGCGGAGAUUUCCUGCAGGAAUGAAGACGGGGAGGCAGUGGACUGGUUUGCUCUAUACAAGCUGCCAAAGCACACCAAAGGAGAUGGCACAGGGCUGGGCCUGGAAUACCUGUACAUGGACAGCCUAGCGCAGCAGUGGCAGCCUGGCAGGUACCUUGUGAACAUGACACAGGGUGCUUUGGGACAGACACUGGAGCAGCUCUACAAAGCAUACGAGUCCAAGAGGAACAACACUGUGUAUGCAAUCUAUAACGAUGAGGUCCCUCACUCAGGCCCCAUCAGCAAGAAAAGAGGACACACCAAAGGAUUUCUGCUCUUGGACAAAUCACAAGGCUUCUGGGUGAUCCACAGCGUGCCCUUGUUCCCCCCCUUUCCUGAGGAUGGCUAUGGUUACCCAGCCAGUGGGGAGUUCUACGGACAGACAGCCAUGUGCAUAACUUUCAUGUAUGAGCAGUUCAUAGAAAUAGACCAACAGAUGCUGAGCUCUAAUCCAGAAAUCUACAGCUGCUCCCUACCUGAUACCUUCCAAGCUGAUCUCCCAAACCUUCAAAAGCUCUGUGCAGGCUCCAGGCUGCCCUCACACCCCCUGCGCCGCCUCUCCAAGCUGCAGUCCGCACGUGGGGAAGCCUUUCUCCACUUUGCAAAGUCUAAUUCUUUUGUGGAUGAUAUCUAUGUGGCCUGGGUGGCUCAGGAACUGAAGACUGAUUUGUUGGCUGAAUCCUGGCAGCACUCUGGCCAAAAACUUCCCUCAAACUGCUCUCUCCAGUACUAUGUCUACAACAUAAAUCUCAUAGGGACGCCACUGAAUUCCACCUUCCCCUCAAUCCAGGAUCACUCCAAAUGGUCUGUUUCAAUGAAGGAUGAAGUUCAGUGGACCUGCAUUGGAGACUUAAACCGUGCUGUUGAGCAAGCUUGGAGGAGUGCACCACAUGUUCGUGACCUUACUGUACAGGAACAACAAGGAGUCCUUCACUGGAGUCAACUCAGGUGAGGUGCUCCAUGGUGCACCAGAGGGCACUGGGAUCUGCUCCACCACCUGUAUUUCCUAUGGGAGAUGCUCGGCCGCAAUGUUUGGCUCACAGAGCUCAACAGCAUGGAGUCUCCAUCCCCAGGCUGACACACUGGUGUGUCACAGUCCCGCUCCCCAGGCCUAUCCCUUGACUUUGAGUUCAUCUUUCAUUUUUACACAAGGUAAUUGGUGGCCAUUCUGCAUCUCCUGCAAAUCAGGUAAAAGCAAGGAACAUCUUUCCCCUCCUUUCACCAUUUUGCAGCCUAGGAGCUGCAAGCUAAAAAUUAAAUAUUCAAAGCUUUACCAGAGCAGGACAGAGUGUUCAGUGUGACCUGCUGGAGUGCUCAUGGUUGCUGCAAGCAGUUCACUGUAGUACACUUGUCCUAGCAUUGCAUAAUUUAUUAAUCAUAGAAAUUGUGCAUGCAAAUCAGCCACACAGUUGUGCAUCAUCAUAUACUAACCAGUAUAUUUGUUUUUACAUGCAUUAAAGCCCUCAGAUAAUAAUGUCGCAUUAUAGCAGUGCAGCUUUUCUCUGUCGCCUUCUGAAACCUGUCAAUUGUUUGCUAAAAGCCAUGUCAUUGGGCAUGCUGGGUUUUUGCCAUUGUUCCUAUACUUCUGACUCCCCAAAGUGUGACAGUAUUUAGCUCCAGGGCUUUUUCUGUGUCUGGAUUUUUACAGGUUUCCUUUUUGGGCUAAGGUUCUGUCAGCCAGAAAUCAAGAUUUCUAUAGUGCAGUUUUAAAACUGUAUUCUUGCACCUGUGUGUUUAUGUUCAACACCACUGCCCACCCAUUCACGCAGAGGAUUAAGAACACCAAGCUCAGUGCAUAUUUCAGAAACUGCUUCCUUCCCCUGGCAGCCGCUCCAUUGCUUAUACUGAUCUUGUAAAUCCUGGACAUUGCACAAGUUAAAUCUGUGUCUUCUCUUGCUUUCUAACUACUCUAAAUAAUUUUUUGCAUGAAAGUAAGAUUUUCAAGGGGAGAAUGAGAGAACUAACAAUUUUGCAUGAGACAUUUUGUGAGGAAAAAGCAUAGAAGAAACGUUGCGCAACAAAGACAGGCAGUUGCUGUAGUUUUGUUCCCUACUGCCCAGGAACCUGCCCUCCUCUUUUCUGCCAAAUAACAUGGAGAACCAGAGAAGUCAGAAUGGAGAGAACUCAGAGGAAAACUGAGAAGAGUGAAGAGGACAACAGAAGGCAAAAGCUUUAAUAAAGGAAUAGUUCUACUGCAACAAAGGAAAUGAGCAAGAAGAGAGAUGAGGACACAUCCUAAGUCCAUUAAUGGCAGUGGGAAUUUGCCUUCAUCUUCAGUGGGAACACGUUUUCAAAGACAUGGGAAUCGUCCAUACAAAAUGGAGGAUAAAAUCUGAACCUUCUGUGGUCUAUGACACAAACCAGAAGAGGGCCCCGACACGGUGGAAACAUCCCCAGCAGGAGUUUCACAGCCAGGCUUGACCACAGUCCUGUGUGUGGUGCUGGCUGCUGGGAUGGACGUCAUCACGGCCUCAGGCACAGGCAGUGUCUGUGGUAGAGCGCUCCCUGAGCCUGGGCCAGGCAGGAGCCAGGCAGAGAUGCAUCUCCUCUUGGUGAACACUGACCCUCAUGCUGAUUAUGGGUUUACUUUCAAUGCCCUACAUUUGGGAAGAUGAGCAGCGUGGACAGCAGGAAUCUUCCCCAGGGAGAUUCAAGAUCUUCAAGGGUACACACUGCCUGCUGAAUGGUGCAAAAAGCCAAAGAAGGAAAGUCCAGAUAAAGCAACCUUGUGAUUCCAAGCAUCUCUUCUUUUGGUACUGGCACUACACAGCAAAAUAGACAUUAAAAUAACAGAGUUGCCAUUCUUCUAGCAGAAACAUUCCUCUCCCUCUCAUCCCUUUGAUGUACUCCUUCUCCCACUCCCAGGAUUGCACUACAUCAGCUCACUGUGUGAUAGUGUGCACACCAGGACCUUGUUGUACUCUUGAAAGGUGAGUUCAUUUGCCCCACAAACACAUGGCCCCUGUAGUUCUGUUUGAGCUCUUUAAGAAAAAGUCCUCUAUUAUCCUUGAUUAUUGGUCACCAAAAUAUGUCUGAUAGGAUAGACCCUUCAAAAUAACCAAAUUUUGCAGAAAAUUUCUCAGAAAAAUGUUCUAUGGGAGUAUGCACCCUAAGGAAGAAGACUUCUUCAUAACAACUGAUCAAGUUAUGUUUCUUAUUGGAUCUGUGCGGCCAGUCCAUUGCAGUUCUCAUAAAGAAAAAAAUUAUAAGUAUUUGCUCAAGAACCUCUUUAAAAGAAAUACAUUUACCAUGUGCUAAUAUGUCUGUGUUCUACAUGGCACUGAUUUUCAGUCCCUUUAAGAGAGUCACAGAUAUCACUAAACAAUGCAAGUUCAUGCAUAUUUUCUAGAUAUUACAUUUCUCAAGGAAGCCCAUGCCUCUAUUGGAAAACUAAAAGAAAUUUCAAAAGCUGUGACUUUUUUGCAAGUCAGAAUUUUAUUCCUAUGUCAAAAUAUCAAUUUUUAUUUGAUUUUUUGAGAGCUUUGCCAAAGAUUCUUCGGGAACAGACAGCUUAUGGUUUCAGUUCUUUUUUUUUCCCCCCAAGAAAAUGCAGUAUUUCUUUAAUACUAAACUCCAUUGGUUUUCAGUGCCCUAACUUUUAACUAUCACCUUGUAUAAAAUCAGUGUAAGAAAUGAGAAAUGUGGUUUAACUGCUUUUAAAAUCAUGUAGUAGUGCUAUUAGGUUUUGUGGGAUUAGUUUGAUAGUCCAAGUAAAAUAACUGUCAGCUAGACAGAUAGUGCAAUAAAGGUGAAACACACUAUUGCCAAUAAGAAAGUAAUCUUUAUUUCAUGGUCCCAGACUCCUACCAUACCAGCACAGCACUUUGUGGGAUUGAGUGGCACUCACCAACAUAACACUGCUGAGCACAAACAACUUGAUUAGAUUAGUUAAACCAAUGUGGUAGAGGCAAAGUGGAACUGAGCAGCUUUGUGGCCCUUAUCAAGUAUAAUAGAAGUACAGCUUCUUCUCUAUACAAGGGAAAUUUCACAUGUUAGGGCUAACAGCAUUCGGAGCAAGUCCACUGUAAUUUCAGUGUAGCAUUGGAUGAAGCAUGACAAUAAGUUCAGUCAAGUAAAAAACUGGGAGAGUUAAACUCUUGACAAAUUUACAAAAGCACUGCACAAAUUCUUGUGUGUACUUGUGCAAGGUAUUGAGCAGAAAAGAAAUAUGUUUAUUCUAAGAGGAUACAGGUGUGGCUACUACUACUGUGUACCAAAGAUAUUCUUUAAAAAAUGAAUCCUGUUUAUGCUAUUUGUUUGAAGCAGUAAUUAGACUGGCAUCCAGUUUGAAUGAUAACCACUGCUUUCUUCACACAGAUUUUCUAAGUUUGUGAGACCAGUUCUCAAAAGCUCUUUAGCAAAGUUCUUAUGUUGCUAGCAUCACUCCCUCAGAGGAAACUGGUAAAAGGGUGAGUUCUGGUUUUCAGUACCUUCUCCAGAUUGGGCUUCAAAAAUAAAAGUCAGCUUUUUUAAACGUGAUCUUUCAUAAUUAUGGUUGAAAAUGAUGUGUUUGCCAAGUGCUGAACAGCCUUGAAAACUGGGUCUGAUGUGUUCAAGGUAAAACUAAAGGUUUAAGCCUGUAGUAUACUUCACACUUAGAAACUUUUUGCGUAUGCUCACAAUUGAAACUUAUGUUUUCCUUUUUAAAGAAAGAAUAAGUGAUACUUCUUUCACUAUUGAUACAGUUUUGUAACUCAGUGUUUUGAAUUUUCUAUUUCAGAUUUUCCCAGGAUAAAGUUGUCUCUGCAGGUGCCCCAGACUCUGCCAAAUGAUUGGCUUUCUAUCCAGCUCAGUCAUUUACUUCUGUUGCAUGUUUUAGACAUCCUUUUUUGCAUCUUAAGACAUCCAAAAUUUUCCACCUUUACACAUCCAUUACUCCAUCUUAACUUCAAUUCCAUGUUUUUUCUUCUGCAGGCUUAUAAAAAAAACCCCCACACUUUGACUGAAAGGAAAGCACAUGUAUCAGAACAGACUUUUGGAUUUCUUUUACUUCAAACACACACAGCAUCAUGUCCCAGAUGGCUUAAUACUGAAGACCACUUUAGAAAGUCAUUUGUAUGGACAUAUGAACAUGCUUCAUAUCAGGCAUCAAGAAAGGUACAACUGAAGAGCUCUGAUACUGUAAAGAAAUCCACUUAAAAGUGAAGAAAUACAGGAAUGUCUUUAGUCAUCCACUGGACAGUCCUUCAUUUAGUGUACAAGAUCUUCAGCAUUCUCGAAUAAUGGGCAUAAGGAAUGAAAGAUCCUGAGCCCAAAGGACAGCAAAUAAUUGCUCCGCAGACAAGAUGGACUGCUUCCUCAUGAGGUGUUGUAAAGGAACAGCUUCUCUCCAUUCGGUACAGUGAUGUUUGUCCUUGUCAGGAUGGUAGUCUGUUCCCAGGACUACCAAGCAAAACUACAGCUGAAUGAACAGCAUUAUAAGCUUUUCAUGUCAUCGUAGUCCAGAAGGAAGCACUGAUUCUCCAGCCUGACCUUUUGCCCACUGUGGGUGAUAGAACUAACUCAAGUGAUUUCUGCGUAAUUUCUGGGGGACCUACAACACUUCCUUUGGAAAAAAAUUCACCUUCUCUGAUUAAAGAUUUCACGUGACAAGCAAUACUUCACAAGCCUUUUUUAAUCCAGAAAUGUCUCUUAUCUCAGCUUUCAAAAAUUGCAUCUUUUAAAAGGUUUGUCUGCUAAACUGAAGAUUACUAUGAUGACAACUGUUCUCCUUACUGAGGUGAUUUCACAUUCUUUAGCUCUUGUGUGAUUCAGAGAUGGGCUAGAGAUAAGGGUUUUAAAGUCUCUUCAGUAAGGGCAGUUUCUAGAUAUGUCUGUUUAACCACUUCCUGUUUGCCAGCUUUUGCACAGAUAUCAAACCAAGACAUGCUGUUCCACCAGUAGAAUCCUUACUUAGUACAUAGAUGGUGCUCCCACAUUUGUACACCCAAGGACUGCAUUUCUAUGUGCUCUUAAAUGCCUGUCUGUAUUGCUAUUCUUCAUUAUCACAGUUCUCCAUCAGAUAACUGAUCUACAUAUUUCAUUCCUAGAAAUAUUAGCUUGUAAUUAACUGUAUUAGUUUGCACAUUGUUCACAUUAGCUUAUCUUCCUUAAAAUUCUGUUAACACUGCAGAAUCUAUCCUUAUUAUGUACCACUUGACGACUUCUGUCUGUUAUGUAUUAGCUUAUAAAUUUUGAAACUAAUAAAUGCUUCUUAUUAAUGCU
Molecule: non-coding RNA, 6447 nt
Organism: Phasianus colchicus (ring-necked pheasant)
Lineage: Eukaryota; Metazoa; Chordata; Aves; Galliformes; Phasianidae
Source: RefSeq, a predicted model, not a curated record